AUAACACACAACUCAUCCACAUGUAUAUAAAACACACAACUCAUCCACAUGUAUAUAAAACACACAACUCAUCCACAUGUAUAUAAAACACAUUCACAGUAAAUGCGGAAAACACAACCAAAAGUAAAAAAAAAAAAAAAAAAAAUGUAUUUCCAUUUUGGUUCUCUUAAUUAUAUAAAUCUUUGAUUUAUUAAUUGAUUCAUUACAUGGGGUUUGUUUGCAGGGGCAUUCCAGGCCUUCGACCAGGAUGGAGACGGUACGAUCAGACUCAGUGUCUUGGAGUGGCUCCAGUUGACCAUGUACGCCUAGAUUUCCAGAAAGGUCUUCUCAGCCGGUCGGCCUCUCUGGUGACACCCACCCAACGUGAAGAACAGAGGCGGACUACCAGCAUUUACCUCAGUCGUGACCGUGCCAGACCGAAGAGCUAACCCUGCCAGUACCACAUCCACCACCUUCUUCCUGUUCACCUCACGGCAACCCUCAGUCCUCACAAUAGACUGCUACUUACCAGUCCAUACUACUCCAUCACAUCCUUCAUCUCUCUCUCUCUCUAAUCUACUCCUUCCCAUCUCUCUCUCCCUCUAACCUUCCCUCUCUCUCUCCCUCUAACCUUCUCCUUCCCCCUCUCUCUCUCCCUCUAACCUUCUCUCUCUCUCUCUCUCCCUCUAACCUUCUCCUUCCCUCUCUCUCUCCCUCUAACCUUCUCUCUCUCUCCUUCUAACCUUCCCUCUCUCUCUCCCUCUAACCUUCUUCCCUCUCUGUCUCCCUCUAACCUUCUUCCCUCUCUCUCUCCCUCUAAACUUCUCCUUCCCUCUCGAUCUCCCUCUAACCUUCUCCUUCCCUCUCUCUCUCCCUCUAACCUUCUCCUUCCCUCUCUCUCUCCCUCUAACCUUCCCUCUCUCUCUCCCUCUAACCUUCCCUCUCUCUCUCCCUCUCCCUCUAAACUUCUCCUUCCCUCUCUCUCUCCCUCUAACCUUCUCCUUCCCUCUCUCUCUCCCUCUAACCUUCUCUUUCCCUCUCUCUCCCUCUAACCUUCUCCUUCCCUCUCUCUCCCUCUAACCUUCCCUCUCUCUCUCCCUCUAACCUUCCCUCUCUCUCUCCCUCUAACCUUCCCUCUCUCUCUCCCUCUAACCUUCUCCUUCCCUCUCUCUCUCCCUCUAACCUUCUCCUUCCCUCUCUCUCCCUCUAACCUUCUCCUUCCCUCUCUCUCCCUCUAACUUUCUCCUUCCCUCUCUCUCCCUCUAACCUUCUCCUUCCCUCUCUCUCUCCCUCUAACCUUCCCUCUCUCUCUCCCUCUAACCUUCCCUCUCUCUUUCCCUCUAACCUUCUCCUUCCCUCUCGAUCUCCCUCUAACCUUCUCCUUCCCUCUCGAUCUCCCUCUAACCUUCUCCUUCCCCAUCUCUCUCCCUCUAACCUUCUCCUU
This 1423-nucleotide long non-coding RNA is filed under the name Salmo trutta (river trout). RNAcentral's name for it is "lncRNA (ENSSTUG00000037655.1)". Lineage: Eukaryota; Metazoa; Chordata; Actinopteri; Salmoniformes; Salmonidae. The record is from RNAcentral.